UCAUAUCAACAUCCAUGUGGAAAAGGGAGUUGGAAUCAUUAACUGAGAUGCUGUUGAGGGUUCUGCUCGAUCUGAGUUUUCUUUUCUGGUUUCAGAAUGCAAAGAGAUACCAGAAUUCGAUCUCAUAUCGGAUACGAUCGAUCCCUCAGCAAAACCAUAACCACAGAUUAGCGUAGAUGAUUUAUAUAUGCACAUGCCAUGUUAGCUUAUAUAUUCCCCUGUAUCUCACAUUCUCACCCAAUGUUUUAAAACGCUGAAGGCGUACCCGAGGCGUUUUCGGGAGAGCCUUGCAGCCUUGAGGCAUAAGGCGCAUAAGGCGUAAGCCUUUCGUAUAAAUCACAUAUAUUCAUGUAUAUUGGUCCUCCAGCAGCACGAAUAAAAUUGCAGAGCAUUUUCCAGCACCAGAAGAGUUUGAUCCGAGCAGGUUUGGGAAUGGAAAGGCCGCUCCAGCUUACUCAAAUAUCCCAUUCGGAAGCGGUCCUCGAAUCUGUCCAGGAAAAGAAUAUGCUCGACUUCAACUUAUGUGUUUCCUCCAUCACGUCGUUACAAGAUACAAAUGGGAAGUGACAAAUACAAAGGCCAAAAUUGCAGGCGGUUUGAAUCCUGUUCCAAAAGAAGGGUUUCACAUUCGCAUCCAACCUUACAAUAAGUUGGCCUGAGUAGAAGUACUGAAUGCACUGAGCUGAUCCUAGAUCCAAAUAAACAUGCUGCAUGGAACUAAAGAAACUACCUAUAUAGUUCAUAGUUCAUACCACCACGUCGUAUUUUCUGGAUCUAAUUAAAUGUUAUAUGUGUGGGUUGUAUUCGCAAUAUAUUCACAUCUACAUACUACAGCUAAAGUAUUUUGUGGACCA
Rosa chinensis is the source of this 854-nucleotide long non-coding RNA. RefSeq lists it as uncharacterized. The transcript has 2 exons. NCBI's taxonomy places the organism in Eukaryota, Viridiplantae, Streptophyta, Magnoliopsida, Rosales, Rosaceae. The record is from RefSeq and is a predicted model, not a curated record.